UACUGAGUGUACACAUGUGGAAGCCUGAGUAUUUAGUAAAGAGAAUAGAAGCUAAACAUUAGAAAAGAAGGAGAAAAGGGAAAGGGGAAGAAUAGGAAGAUUAAGAGGGAAAGAAAGAGGGAAGGUUGCUGCUGCUGCUGUUUCGGUUCGCCGUUGUGCGACGCAGCAACCUGUUCGACCCUUUCCUGAUGGUUCAAUCAUGGAAUUUUGGUGUCGAGACGAGCUGUCAGGAUAGGAACUUUUCACACAUAUUGCAUUGUACUCUGAGGUCGUCAAGGUGCUGGAGAUCAAGUUGGAUGAAGACUAGCUGUUGGUGUGGAUUUAAUGGUGACCACGAUGUUAUGUGGAUUUUUGCUUAAAUCAUCCUUAAACUUGGGUUUGGAUGCUACCAAUUAAAUAUCUUAGCUACUAUUUUGUAAAAGGAAGAAAACAACCAGUUUGAAACUUAGGGACAUAGUUGGCUAGUGAGUUGUUAGAUUGUAUAAACAAAUAUUUUGGUAUGUAUAGAAAGGUUGACUGUAAAUCUUUUGAAUA
Long non-coding RNA from Salvia hispanica, 534 nucleotides. RefSeq lists it as uncharacterized. Lineage: Eukaryota; Viridiplantae; Streptophyta; Magnoliopsida; Lamiales; Lamiaceae. The record is from RefSeq and is a predicted model, not a curated record.